This 460-nucleotide ribosomal RNA is filed under the name uncultured bacterium. Its description in RNAcentral is "partial 16S ribosomal RNA". It matches the Rfam family "Bacterial small subunit ribosomal RNA", at positions 338 to 795 of the family's 1533-position model. The record is from RNAcentral.
CCUACGGGAGGCAGCAGUGAGGAAUAUUGGUCAAUGGACGAGAGUCUGAACCAGCCACGUAGCGUGAAGGAUGACUGCCCUCUGGGUUGUAAACUUCUUUUAUAUGGGAAUAAAAUGUUCCACGUGUGGGAUUUUGUCUGUACCAUAUGAAUUAGGAUCGGCUAACUCCGUGCCAGCAGCCGCGGUAAUACGGAGGAUCCGAGCGUUAUCCGGAUUUAUUGGGUUUAAAGGGAGCGUAGGUGGAGUGUUAAGUCAGUUGUGAAAGUUUGCGGCUCAACCGUAAAAUUGCAGUUGAAACUGGCAGUCUUGAGUACAGUAGAGGUGGGCGGAAUUCGUGGUGUAGCGGUGAAAUGCUUAGAUAUCACGAAGAACUCCGAUGGCGAAGGCAGUUCACUGGACUGCAACUGACACUGAGGCUCGAAAGUGUGGGUAUCAAACAGGAUUAGAUACCCGGGUAGUC